UACGUAGGGGGCAAGCGUUGUCCGGAAUUAUUGGGCGUAAAGCGCGCGCAGGCGGUUUCUUAAGUCUGGUGUCUAAGUGCGGGGCUCAACCCCGUGAUGCACUGGAAACUGGGAGACUUGAGUGCAGAAGAGGAGAGCGGAAUUCCACGUGUAGCGGUGAAAUGCGCAGAUAUCAGGAAGAACACCCGUGGCGAAGGCGGCUCUCUGGGACGGUACUGACGCUGAGACGCGAAAGCGUGGGGAGCGAACAGG
This 252-nucleotide ribosomal RNA is filed under the name uncultured bacterium. Its description in RNAcentral is "partial 16S ribosomal RNA". It matches the Rfam family "Bacterial small subunit ribosomal RNA", at positions 524 to 776 of the family's 1533-position model. The record is from RNAcentral.